CAGUCGCCACGGGAAUACGUAGGGUGCGAGCGUUAAUCGGAAUUACUGGGCGUAAAGCGUGCGCAGGCGGUUAUAUAAGACAGAUGUGAAAUCCCAGGGCUCAACCUGGGACCUGCAUUUGUGACUGUAUAGCUAGAGUACGGUAGAGGGGGAUGGAAUUCCGCGUGUAGCAGUGAAAUGCGUAGAUAUGCGGAGGAACACCGAUGGCGAAGGCAAUCCCCUGGACCUGUACUGACGCUCAUGCACGAAAGCGUGGGGAGCAAACAGGAUUAGAGACCCCUGUAGUCCCUGUCUCUUAUAA
This 301-nucleotide ribosomal RNA is filed under the name uncultured bacterium. RNAcentral describes it as "partial 16S ribosomal RNA". It matches the Rfam family "Bacterial small subunit ribosomal RNA", at positions 509 to 809 of the family's 1533-position model. The record is from RNAcentral.